CCGUGCUAGCCGGGGAGUCAGCGGUGCCUUGUACCUGCAAUCCGCUAAAGCAGGGGUGAUGCUUUGUCUGAGGCUUUCAUUUGUUUGGUCUGCCCUUAGCAAGUAGUGAUGACGACUGAGUCUUGCGCAAUAAGCACUUAUGAACCGUGUCAGGUCCGGAAGGAAGCAGCACUAAGUAAGCCCGCUUAUGUGCCGCGAGGGUGCUUGGUUAGAGCUAACUACUAAGGUAACGCUUAUAGAUGACUGUCGAAGCAAAGUGCACGG
This 264-nucleotide signal recognition particle RNA is filed under the name Lachnospiraceae bacterium. RNAcentral describes it as "signal recognition particle sRNA large type". It matches the Rfam family "Bacterial large signal recognition particle RNA". Rfam says of the family: The signal recognition particle (SRP) is a universally conserved ribonucleoprotein involved in the co-translational targeting of proteins to membranes. Lineage: Bacteria; Bacillati; Bacillota; Clostridia; Lachnospirales; Lachnospiraceae. The record is from RNAcentral.